UACGUAGGUGGCAAGCGUUGUCCGGAAUUAUUGGGCGUAAAGCGCGCGCAGGCGGUCCUUUAAGUCUGAUGUGAAAGCCCACGGCUCAACCGUGGAAGGUCAUUGGAAACUGGGGGACUUGAGUACAGAAGAGGAAAGCGGAAUUCCACGUGUAGCGGUGAAAUGCGUAGAGAUGUGGAGGAACACCAGUGGCGAAGGCGGCUUUCUGGUCUGUAACUGACGAUGAGGCGCGAAAGCGUGGGGAGCAAACAGG
This 253-nucleotide ribosomal RNA is filed under the name uncultured bacterium. Its description in RNAcentral is "partial 16S ribosomal RNA". It matches the Rfam family "Bacterial small subunit ribosomal RNA", at positions 524 to 776 of the family's 1533-position model. The record is from RNAcentral.